Molecule: transfer RNA, 76 nt
Filed under: Candidatus Zixiibacteriota bacterium
Lineage: Bacteria; Pseudomonadati; Candidatus Zixiibacteriota
Description: tRNA-His
Rfam family: tRNA
About the family: Transfer RNA (tRNA) molecules are approximately 80 nucleotides in length. Their secondary structure includes four short double-helical elements and three loops (D, anti-codon, and T loops).
Source: RNAcentral
GUGGGUGUAGCUCAGUUGGUUAGAGCGUCAGAUUGUGGUUCUGAAUGCCGAGGGUUCGAAUCCCUUCACCCACCCA